RNAcentral lists this long non-coding RNA (1289 nucleotides) under Sorghum bicolor (sorghum). RNAcentral's name for it is "long non-coding RNA (SBIC_LNC004721)". Lineage: Eukaryota; Viridiplantae; Streptophyta; Magnoliopsida; Poales; Poaceae. The record is from RNAcentral.
CAUUACCUUGCAAAUUAAAAAGAACCAAGAUCCACAUUUAGAAUUAAAAUUUGAAGAGUGACAUGAUGAUGACAUUCUUGAAAUAUAAGCUUGCAUGAAGAUUGUUUCAUAUACAUACACUUAUGCUUGUGGGAAAAAUAUUCUGAUAGAAAAAUCAUAUUGACUAAGUUGUUGCGGAGUGUGACAUAGUUCUGGCGUAGAAACCCUACUAGUUCUAUUCAAGGCACUUGGAUAUUUUAUUUUAAUAAAAUUUUAUAAAACCAUAGUGUCACAUACUCCUCAAUGGUGAUAAAUUCCUACCAGAGCCAUAUAUAUAGGAUAGAAGCUGUCUACAUAUGCUACUUGCUGUUAUGUUGAGUGUGGUCAAAUUUUGUGAUCCUUUGAGAGAUUUAUCAUAUUCCCAAGAUCAAGAUUCACUUGCACCCACAUAUAUAUGCACCGCUCUUACAUUAGGAGUAGGCGCAAAACAUGCCUUCCAUUUAGAUCCACCCAAAAUGUCUCUCCCCUACACUGGGAGUGAACACUAAAAAUAUCCGUGAUAGGUUUUCCAUCCACUAAAUAAAUACUCCAAUUCUUGUUACUAUCUCUCAAAAGUCUUUGUUGUCAAAAAAGAGUCAUGAGCUAUGCAAAAGUUAUCAUAAAGAGAAGAAAAAAAUAGAGGGAGUUAAAAAAAAGGGGGACAAGUGUCCUAGAGAUAAAAAAAUGAGUACUCAGAUACUCACCUCCCUAAGAAAAAAAUAGUAACAUAGCUCAUGUUCUCUGACCAAGUUUUAAGAGAGAUAUAUUCAAGGAGUAUAGUAGAAUUAGGUUUCUCCAAUUCCACCAUAUAUCCACUAAAUAUCCACACACAUGCACAUCUUGAUCUAAGAGUAUGAUAUUUCGCUCCUCGGGUUCAGAUUUUGACUUUAUAAUAUAUGCAACAUAAGUAUGCCACAACAUCUAUCUCUACCUGAGCUCCACAUAAGCUAUUAGUUGUAGGAAGACAAGAGCAUAAUAAGAUACACCAUUGAGCGAUCGAAAGUACCAUUUGAGGAGUAAUAGUGAUCUAUGCUUUCCUUUUGUAAAAACUUUAAAAACUUCAAGUUGCUAAAAUGUGAAUCUGGGAAGAUGACUUUGCUUCGAGAGCUGUUCUACUUUUCAAACGCCCAAGGACAUAUGUUAGCCAAUGCCACAUAUCCCACUUGUGUGAGUAAUGUUUUGGAAUAAUUUUUAUGUUAACUAUAUAUUUCUAGAUUUUAUGAUAAUGAUUACUUUUAUCUUAACCUUUACUCGAGGACGAGCAAACAACA